Molecule: ribosomal RNA, 221 nt
Filed under: uncultured bacterium
Lineage: Bacteria
Description: partial 16S ribosomal RNA
Rfam family: Bacterial small subunit ribosomal RNA
Source: RNAcentral
UACGAAGGGGGCUAGCGUUGCUCGGAAUCACUGGGCGUAAAGGGUGCGUAGGCGGGUCUUUAAGUCAGGGGUGAAAUCCUGGAGCUCAACUCCAGAACUGCCUUUGAUACUGGGGAUCUUGAGUCCGGAAGAGGUGAGUGGAACUGCGAGUGUAGAGGUGAAAUUCGUAGAUAUUCGCAAGAACACCGGUGGCGAAGGCGGCUCACUGGUCCGGAAACUGA